UCGUUUGGGUUGGGCGUCGGCUAAGAGUGCUUAGAGUGUGGAUUAACUCCAGUCUCCUAUCAGGUGUGUAUUUUCUCGCUACUCUAGCUAUAGGAUGGCUACUUCGGGCCGCGAUGGGCCGAAAGGGGUCAUGUGGGCCUAAUGGGCCUACGGGCCCAAUUGGAUAAGUUGUUUGAUUGUGUAGUAAAUAUUGGACUAGGCUAGGUGAAUCUCAUAUUUGUGGCUAGAUUUAGGCUAAAAGAGUCACACGAGCGUGUGGGCCCAUUUGAGCCGAGAAUAGGCUUUAGGCCCAUUCGUAUUAUUAUCCCUAUUUAGAAUACUUUAGUUUACCAAAUUACUGAAAUGCCCUCGAUUUGUAAAAUUACCAUUUUACCUUCGAUUUAUAGAAUUACCGUUUCACCAUCGAUUUAAAAAAUUAAUAUUUUACCCUCGAUUUACAAAAUUACCAUUUUACCCUCAAUUUACAAAAUUACCUUUUUACCCUCGAUUGUGAAAUUACUGAAAUACCCCUGUAGGAUAGAAUUACCAAAAUACCCCUAGUUUGUAAAAUUACCAAAAUACCCCUAGUUUGUAAAAUUACCGAAAUACCAAUGGUUUGUGAAAUUACCGAAAUACCCUCAAUUUGUAAAAUUACCAAAAUACCUUUGAUUUACAAAAUUAUAGAAAUACCCUUGACUUUCUAAAAAUUAUAAAAAUACCAUUGAUUUACAAAAUUACUGAAAUACCCUUGGUUUGUAGAUUUACCAAAACACCCUUGUAGGAUGAAAUGACUAAAAUACCCCUAAUAGGUAAAAAGACCGUAAAGCCCCUGUAGGGUAAAGUGACCGUAAUACCCUUAUAUGGUAAAAUGACGAAUACGCCCUUAUGUUCCGUAUGACUGAUGUGCUUAGGAUUUACAUAUAUUUAUAUUGGAUUAGUUAAGUUUGAGUGACAGGUGGUGGUUAUCGUAGGUGAUUGAUUAUGGAAACGUUUCAACUUCAACCCAUAACAGGUGUGUACUAACCCUCGUAGUAGCUUAGAUUAAUAUCUGCUGAGAAGCUGAAAUGCUAAAAUACCGGUAUUUCGGGAACUUGUAAUGUUGCGUGUGGGUAUAGAUGUGAUAAAUACGAUAAGAUCGGUGUUUGGAUCGAUGGAACGGGUAAGAACUCAAUUUUGUGCACGAUGGUAAGUUGGGCCUCAAUGGGCAGGAAUUGGGCCAAAUGGGCUUUUAGUCCCAUUUGGGUAAAACUGAUAGAAAAUGGAAUUUGGAAAAUUUGCAUAUUAACACGGUUAGUAUUGUUGUAAAAUUUGGGUUAAGCAGGCUUAGUGGGCUAAAUCAGCAUUCGUAGGGCCCAUUAGGGGUUUUGGGCCCAAAAGCCCGAAUUUGAUAAAGUGGGAUUUAAACACUCGAAAAUAUUGACAAUUGUAAUGAACAUGGAAAACGCUGAUUUUUGGUAAAAUUAUGAAAAUACCCUUAUAAUAUGAAAAAUGACUGUUUUUCCCUUGUGGGCAAGUGACUAACUUGGACUGUGUGGUUGACGGAUUUGAUUGUGAAUAUAUGUUGGUGAUAUGAAUGACUUAACUGUGAUUGUUUGAUUCAAAUAUGGGCAUGACAUUCUGCAUACACGACAUGUUGCAUGGGUUGGGUUUUAUAAAUGAAGGAAGUGCUAAAAGGGCUAUGCCCUAGUUUACCGAAAAGGGCUUUGCCCUAGUUUACCGAAAAGGGCUUUGCCCCAGUUUAUCAAAAGGGCUUUGCCCCAGUUAUUAAAAGAGGCUAGGCCUCCAGAUAUAUGAUAAAGUAGCUAUGCUGCCAGUGGUGUGUUGGUUGGGUGGGUUGAAUCAUUCCCCACAUGGUGUGUUGGUUGGUACGGGUGGAGAGUAGCGGAUGGUGGGUCAAGUAGUCUCCCCAAAUGGGCUUGCAUACAUCCAUUGACAUUACAUGUGAUAUUAAAAUGGGCCUAAGGGCCAUACUGUUUACAGUAAAGGCUUCGGCCCAGUGAUAUGAUUUAUGAAAAGGUUUUGGCCCAGAGAUAUGAUUUAUGAUAAGGCUUCGGCCCAGUGAUAUGAUUUAUGAUAAGGCUUCGGCCCAGUGAUAUGAUUUAUGAAAAGGCUUCGGCCCAGUAACUGUUAAACGAAAGGCUUCGGCCCAGUAUAUGCCAAGACUAAAUAGGGCUUUGGCCCGGAUUGUUCUGACACUGUGUUUUCACUGUUUGUUUGUUAUUGGGAUUACACACUGAGUUUUCGUAAACUCACCCCGUUUCUAACUGUGCAGGUAAUCCCUAAGCUUAGAUGGUUUGGAGCUGUGAGGGACUCGGAGAUGGCCACGCUACUGUUUCUAUUUCUUUUAAUUGCAAUAAGUAGCCGAUUUAUUUCUUUAUAAGUUUUAUCCUAUUAAUAUUAUUAUUUGGUUUUGGGUUGUAAUAAGG
This 2405-nucleotide long non-coding RNA is filed under the name Gossypium barbadense (sea-island cotton). Its description in RNAcentral is "long non-coding RNA (GBAR_LNC005309)". The record is from RNAcentral. Lineage: Eukaryota; Viridiplantae; Streptophyta; Magnoliopsida; Malvales; Malvaceae.